Molecule: transfer RNA, 60 nt
Filed under: Pallaseopsis kessleri
Lineage: Eukaryota; Metazoa; Arthropoda; Malacostraca; Amphipoda; Pallaseidae
Description: tRNA-Lys
Source: RNAcentral
UACUAAGUGGCCGAAUUAGGCGUAAGUCUUUUAAACUUAUUAUAGAGAUUGCUCUUAGUA